RNAcentral lists this ribosomal RNA (434 nucleotides) under Pseudomonas sp. R-37092. RNAcentral describes it as "bacterial SSU rRNA". It matches the Rfam family "Bacterial small subunit ribosomal RNA", at positions 21 to 457 of the family's 1533-position model. The record is from RNAcentral. Lineage: Bacteria; Pseudomonadati; Pseudomonadota; Gammaproteobacteria; Pseudomonadales; Pseudomonadaceae.
GGCUCAGAUUGAACGCUGGCGGCAGGCCUAACACAUGCAAGUCGAGCGGUAGAGAGAAGCUUGCUUCUCUUGAGAGCGGCGGACGGGUGAGUAAUGCCUAGGAAUCUGCCUGGUAGUGGGGGAUAACGUUCGGAAACGGACGCUAAUACCGCAUACGUCCUACGGGAGAAAGCAGGGGACCUUCGGGCCUUGCGCUAUCAGAUGAGCCUAGGUCGGAUUAGCUAGUUGGUGAGGUAAUGGCUCACCAAGGCGACGAUCCGUAACUGGUCUGAGAGGAUGAUCAGUCACACUGGAACUGAGACACGGUCCAGACUCCUACGGGAGGCAGCAGUGGGGAAUAUUGGACAAUGGGCGAAAGCCUGAUCCAGCCAUGCCGCGUGUGUGAAGAAGGUCUUCGGAUUGUAAAGCACUUUAAGUUGGGAGGAAGGGUUGUA